Molecule: non-coding RNA, 1376 nt
Organism: Coffea arabica (coffee)
Lineage: Eukaryota; Viridiplantae; Streptophyta; Magnoliopsida; Gentianales; Rubiaceae
Source: RefSeq, a predicted model, not a curated record
AAAUUUCAUUCCAAAUAAUCACGAAAUACUUUUCUGUCUUCAAUCAACCAAUUCAGGAUAUUUCAAUCGAAUCUUAGAACUUUUCUGGUUCCCAAAACACAGGCUCUUUGUUGCUGGUUGUCCACUUAAAAAGUUUAUUCAGGUCAUCGAUCCUUUCCAACCACCUAUCAACUUUGCACCAAAACACCCCCCGCCCCACAAAAAAAAAAAAACCAAAAAAAAGGAAAAAAAAAACCUUUUAGCAUCAUCACUACCACUGUACUACCACCCAUGUCAAAGGUAGGAGAAAAUAAUUCUGCAUGGUCUUUGUCGGGAAAAACAGCUCUAGUUACCGGUGGAAGUCGAGGAAUUGGCCGUGCAAUUGUGGUGGAGCUAGCUCAACUUGGUGCCACAGUCCACACCUUUUCGAGAAAAGAAGCAGAUCUGAAUGAAUGCUCGCAAGAAUGGUCCUCCAAGGGAUUCAAAGUGACUGGUUCAGUCUGCGAUGCAUCUUCAAGAGAGCAAAGAACACAGCUCAUCGAAAAGGUCUCUUCCAUCUUCAAUGGGAAGCUCAACAUCCUUGUAAACAACGUUGGAACAACCAAAAUGAAGCCAGCUGAAGAGUUUACCUCGGAAGAAUAUGACAUGAUCAUGUCUACAAAUCUUGAAUCUUCUUUCCACUUUUCCCAACUCGCUUAUCCUCUCCUAAAAGCCACUGGGAUUGGAAACAUCGUCUUCAUUUCUUCUAUUGCUGGCUUGGUCAGUGUAGAAGGUGCAUCUGUUUAUGCAGCAACAAAAGGUGCAAUGAAUCAACUCACCAGGAAUUUGGCUUGUGAAUGGGCUAAAGAUAACAUUCGCGUAAAUUGCCUUGCACCUGGGGCUAUUAAAACCCCAUUAACGGAAUCUGUGCAGGAUUAUGAUGAAAAAUUGAAGAAAUUGGAUGCAAGAACCCCAAUGAAUCGAGCUGGAGAACCAGAAGAAGUUUCAUCCCUGGUUGCUUUCCUUUGUCUGCCAGCCGCUUCCUACAUAACCGGACAGGUUAUAGCUGUCGAUGGAGGACUGACUGCAAAUGGAAUCCAGUGGAAUUAGUCAUUAAAGGCUCUAUCUUGCUACUGAUGCAAUAGUUCACCAAGAUCUAGUGUUUAAUCUAUACGUAUUUUGUUGUAAAAGGAAGGUAGCAUCUAAACGGCGGAGUGCUUGUCAUGAAAAGCAUACACCUGGAAGGGCAAUUGCUGAUCUCCCGGUCUGACUUCCACCUACAGAGAUCAUGGCAGCUGCAUUGUUAUUAGAGGUGGCAAAAUGGGUGAUUUGGACCGGUUUGGGUUAGGUAAAAUGAGUAAUGGGUAUAAGUGAGUCAACUCAUUUAUAUCCAUUUAAUUAGAUUAAAUGAAUAUAAA